CCGGCGACGGGUGAGUAACGCGUAUGCAACCUACCUAUCAGAGGGGAAUAACCCGGCGAAAGUCGGACUAAUACCGCAUAAAACAGGGGUUCCACAUGGAAAUAUUUGUUAAAGAUUUAUCGCUGAUAGAUGGGCAUGCGUUCCAUUAGAUAGUUGGUGAGGUAACGGCUCACCAAGUCUACGAUGGAUAGGGGUUCUGAGAAGAAGGUCCCCCACACUGGUACUGAGACACGGACCAG
This 239-nucleotide ribosomal RNA is filed under the name uncultured bacterium. Its description in RNAcentral is "partial 16S ribosomal RNA". It matches the Rfam family "Bacterial small subunit ribosomal RNA", at positions 102 to 334 of the family's 1533-position model. The record is from RNAcentral.